GUUUGAUCCUGGCUCAGGACGAACGCUGGCGGCGUGCUUAACACAUGCAAGUCGAGGGCACUUUGGGGGCAACUCUGGAGUGACCGGCGAACGGGUGCGUAACACGUGAGCGACCUUGCCUCGUGGUGGGGGAUAGCCGGCCCAACGGCCGGGUAAUACCGCAUAGGGUAGUUUCUUCGCAUGGGGAGACUAGCAAAGCCUUGGAGCAAUCCAAUGGCGCCACAGGGGGGGCUCGCGGCCUAUCAGCUAGUUGGGGGGGUAAUGGCCCACCAAGGCGACGACGGGUAGCUGGUCUGAGAGGAUGGCCAGCCACAUUGGGACUGAGAGACGGCCCAGACUCCUACGGGAGGCAGCAGUGGGGAAUCUUGCGCAAUGGCCGAAAGGCUGACGCAGCGACGCCGCGUGGGGGAGGAAGGCCUUCGGGUUGUAAACCCCUGUUGCCCGGGACGAAUGUGCAUUUUUGAAUGCAUUGACGGUACCGGGUGAGGAAGCACCGGCUAACUCCGUGCCAGCAGCCGCGGUAAUACGGAGGGUGCAAGCGUUGUCCGGAAUCACUGGGCGUAAAGGGCGCGUAGGCGGCUCAUAAAGGCUGUGGUGAAAGUUCGGGGCUCAACCUCGAAUCGGCCGUGGCGACUUGUGGGCUGGAGCACUGUAGAGGCAGGUGGAAUUCCGGGUGUAGCGGUGGAAUGCGUAGAGAUCCGGAAGAACACCAGUGGCGAAGGCGGCCUGCUGGGCAGUGGCUGACGCUGAGGCGCGACAGCGUGGGGAGCAAACAGGAUUAGAUACCCUGGUAGUCCACGCCGUAAACGAU
This 811-nucleotide ribosomal RNA is filed under the name uncultured Gemmatimonadota bacterium. Its description in RNAcentral is "bacterial SSU rRNA". It matches the Rfam family "Bacterial small subunit ribosomal RNA", at positions 11 to 810 of the family's 1533-position model. Lineage: Bacteria; Pseudomonadati; Gemmatimonadota. The record is from RNAcentral.